GCGAGGAUUGCCCAGCCAAGUCAAAGGCGCCAGAUUCAGAGUCUAGUCUCGUAGGAGUUCUUGCGUUCGAAUUGCACUCCUCGCA
RNAcentral lists this transfer RNA (85 nucleotides) under Methanosarcina horonobensis HB-1 = JCM 15518. RNAcentral's name for it is "tRNA-Leu (CAG) (tRNA-Leu-CAG-2-1)". Lineage: Archaea; Methanobacteriati; Methanobacteriota; Methanomicrobia; Methanosarcinales; Methanosarcinaceae. The record is from RNAcentral.